UCCUCUCUUCAGAAACCUACUGUCUCUUUGUCCUCAUUUUUCUUGGCUUUAGACUCCAGCUCAAGCCCUGCUUCCUCCAGGAAGAGUUCCAGGAAGACUACCCUCAUAAAAUUCAAAUGGUGUCCUCUUAGAAAAAUGUUCUCUGCUGAUGGUAGAUCUCAUCAUCUGGAAUUCUAUCGACUUGUCUUCUAGACUGUAAGAAUGGGAUGAAGAUAAGUGCUUACCUGACAGGGCCAAUGUGAGGACUGGGUGUGAUCCUGAGCGUUGUUGACACGGCCUGCAUACGAUCACAGCAUAAUGUUGACACUUACUCAUCUCAGACUUGAGAAGAACAAACUUUUGCUUCACUUUGGAGGACUCAUUGGUCAACUGAGUGUCCGUGAGCUGGGAGGAAAAAGCACUGUCCAAGCGUAAGCACAGGGGCCAGGAAGAAAGAUCUCUGGAAACAAAUCAGAGAAGGAAUUAAGCCAAAACCACCCUGUGCACCUACUGAGAAACCUGAAUUCGGCUUCCAGAAUGAAGAUGAAAUGUGACCAGCCACUCCCACUGCCCUUCCUGCCUCACCAUGAUGAGCUGCAUCCUCAAACUGGGAGACACAAUAAGCCCUUUUAUCCUUAAGUUGCUUUCACCGGGUAUUUUGUCAUGGCAAGGAGAAAAGUAAGGAAGAUAUCAAGUUAAUUCAUUGAACGUCUAAUAAACAUGGACUUUCUAAU
Molecule: long non-coding RNA, 713 nt
Organism: Peromyscus maniculatus bairdii (prairie deer mouse)
Lineage: Eukaryota; Metazoa; Chordata; Mammalia; Rodentia; Cricetidae
Source: RefSeq, a predicted model, not a curated record